Molecule: ribosomal RNA, 498 nt
Filed under: uncultured bacterium
Lineage: Bacteria
Description: partial 16S ribosomal RNA
Rfam family: Bacterial small subunit ribosomal RNA
Source: RNAcentral
AUUGAACGCUGGCGGCAUGCCUUACACAUGCAAGUCGAACGGUAACAGGUCUUCGGAUGCUGACGAGUGGCGAACGGGCGAGUAAUACAUCGGAACGUGCCCGAUCGUGGGGGAUAACGAAGCGAAAGCUUUGCUAAUACCGCAUAAGAUCUAAGGAUGAAAGCAGGGGACCGCAAGGCCUUGCGCGAACGGAGCGGCCGAUGGAAGAUUAGGUAGUUGGUGGGAUAAAAGCUUACCAAGCCGACGAUCUGUAGCUGGUCUGAGAGGACGACCAGCCACACUGGGACUGAGACACGGCCCAGACUCCUACGGGAGGCAGCAGUGGGGAAUUUUGGACAAUGGGCGAAAGCCUGAUCCAGCCAUGCCGCGUGCAGGAUGAAGGCCUUCGGGUUGUAAACUGCUUUUGUACGGAACGAAAAGACUCUGGUUAAUACCUGGGGUCCAUGACGGUACCGUAAGAAUAAGCACCGGCUAACUACGUGCCAGCCGCCGCAGUAA